Molecule: long non-coding RNA, 1687 nt
Organism: Rhincodon typus (whale shark)
Lineage: Eukaryota; Metazoa; Chordata; Chondrichthyes; Orectolobiformes; Rhincodontidae
Exons: 4
Source: RefSeq, a predicted model, not a curated record
CAUCACUGCGCAUGUGCAGCAUCGUAGUUUCUAAAGGUGGCGGGGGAGCUGUUGUGGUGCAGUGGUUCUGUCCUUACUUGUGGACUAGGAGACCUCAUUUGCUCCAGAUGUAUUUAACCAAGCUGUUCAGAAAACUUCGGAAGCAGGUGGGAUUUGAACCCAGUCCUCCAGAGGUGAGGAAAAAAAAUCGGUCAUCUUUGAUGAACACAUUUGCUUAUUUCUGAGAUAACAAGGUGUGGAGCUGGAUGAACACAGCAGGUCAAGCAGUAUCAGAGGAGCAGGAAAGCUGACGUUUCAGGAUGGAUGACCAGGAGACUCUCCCACUCUUACUGUUUGCCAUUAGGUGGCUUUGGAAGGAUUUACAGGCUGAUAUCAACUUGUUUGUGGCCACAUUACAAAUAUACCUUCCAUACCUAGCAUGGGACUCGAACCUACAGCUUCUGGCCCAGAAGUACGGAUGCUACUACGACAUCACAAGACCUCCUACAUGAAAUCCAUUUUUUGAUAAACAUUGAAUCAAACCUGAAAUUCACUGCUUAUCAGACUGCAAUCUGAUUUUCUCUUUAAUUGCAAUUUUACUUAGGGAACCACUGGUACAAAUUAUGUGUUUAGAUUUAUUGCUAUUAAUAGCAACUAACUUGAGUAAGUCAGAAGUGACAGUUUGUGGGCAAGGCAGCAAAACUCCAAGUGCCUUUAAUCCAUGGUUGUUAGCAUGUCUCCAAAGGUGUCUAGCCAGAAAAUGCCACCUCCAACUGAUACAUAAUGUGCUCCAAAUAUAAUAAUUCAGGUACCUACAUUGCAUUGCAGCAUAACCAAGUUAUAUAACACAUUUGUUGCCCAGCCAACAAUGUGCAUAGAAUUCCCAUUGCCAUAUGAUUUACAAAGCUGAAGAUCAUCAGUUGGAAUGUGGGAUUAGGCUAGAUGGUUAUAUGUUGGCUGACUUUGGUAACCCAUCCUGAUGUUAAUUUCCAGACUUUCCCAUCCCAUAUGUCCUGGAACCUGCCUCCUCUGCCCUGAAAAACCCACUCAAAGUGCCUGACUGAAUUAGCAUGAUAUGAGAAGUGAAGGGGGAUGCCAUUCUCCAUCCUUUCAGACUGAAAUGGAGAUGAUUGGAGUUGAAUAUAUUCCCUCAAUGGAAAUGACAUAGAUGAGUGAGAAUGGCUUUUGGUGGGCAUGGAAAGGCAAGAAAAUGGGUGUGCAGAUAGAAAUAUGAAUUAGAGAAAAGAAAAUGUUUGAGCUGUUUCUUUUAAAAAAAAGAGACAGUAGAAGAAGAUAAUAUAGUGGGCAAGAAAUCCAUGUGGAUGGAGAAGUGGAAAUGAUUAGAAAUGCUAUUGUUAGUGAUUAAAAUCUUGGAGGUGGCAAGGCUUUCAUGGUAAUGAAGUUGAAAGGAUCAACACAGCUAGCAGCUCAACCCAAAUUCUAUCCUAACCUGAAGCACACAAAAGCAAAGACUAGCUAGCGUUGGCUGGAAAUUUAUGAGGGCCCAGAUUUGCUAACCCACAAUAGAUUGGUGAUCAUACAUUGAGAUCUCCUGGACCAGCUAGUCACUGUCUGCAACAACUAAAGAUUUAGCACAUCUCUUUUGAAAAGCAGCCUCUGCUUGUUGAACCCAAUUUUUGUAAAUGUUCAUCCUAUAUAUGGGACUAGAAAUUUGCUUGCUAAGUUUAAUAAAUUAGUGGGAUAUUUA